AGAGUUUGAUCCUGGCUCAGAUUGAACGCUGGCGGCAGGCCUAACACAUGCAAGUCGAACGGUAACAGGAAGUGCUUGCACUUCGCUGACGAGUGGCGGACGGGUGAGUAAUGCUUGGGAACUUGCCUUUGCGAGGGGGAUAACUAUUGGAAACGAUAGCUAAUACCGCAUAAUGUCUUCGAACCAAAGUGGGCUUAGGCUCACGCGCAAAGAGAGGCCCAAGUGAGAUUAGCUAGUUGGUAGGGUAAAGGCUUACCAAGGCGACGAUCUCUAGCUGUUCUGAGAGGAAGAUCAGCCACACUGGGACUGAGACACGGCCCAGACUCCUACGGGAGGCAGCAGUGGGGAAUAUUGCACAAUGGGGGGAACCCUGAUGCAGCCAUGCCGCGUGUGUGAAGAAGGCCUUCGGGUUGUAAAGCACUUUCAGUGGUGAGGAAAAGUUAGUAGUUAAUACCUGCUAUCCGUGACGUUAACCACAGAAGAAGCACCGGCUAACUCCGUGCCAGCAGCCGCGGUAAUACGGAGGGUGCGAGCGUUAAUCGGAAUUACUGGGCGUAAAGCGCACGCAGGCGGUUUGUUAAGCUAGAUGUGAAAGCCCCGCGCUUAACGUGGGAUGGUCAUUUAGAACUGGCAGACUAGAGUCUUGGAGAGGGGAGUGGAAUUUCUGGUGUAGCGGUGAAAUGCGUAGAGAUCAGAAGGAACAUCAAUGGCGAAGGCAGCUCUCUGGCCAAAGACUGACGCUCAUGUGCGAAAGUGUGGGUAGCGAACAGGAUUAGAUACCCUGGUAGUCCACACCGUAAACGCUGUCUACUAGCUGUAUGUGUAUUUAAUACGUGUGUAGCGAAGCUAACGCGCUAAGUAGACCGCCUGGGGAGUACGGUCGCAAGAUUAAAACUCAAAUGAAUUGACGGGGGCCCGCACAAGCGGUGGAGCAUGUGGUUUAAUUCGAUGCAACGCGAAGAACCUUACCUAC
Molecule: ribosomal RNA, 973 nt
Filed under: uncultured bacterium
Lineage: Bacteria
Description: bacterial SSU rRNA
Rfam family: Bacterial small subunit ribosomal RNA
Source: RNAcentral